This 1602-nucleotide ribosomal RNA is filed under the name Escherichia coli. Its description in RNAcentral is "partial 23S ribosomal RNA". It matches the Rfam family "Bacterial large subunit ribosomal RNA", at positions 1 to 1646 of the family's 2925-position model. The record is from RNAcentral. Lineage: Bacteria; Pseudomonadati; Pseudomonadota; Gammaproteobacteria; Enterobacterales; Enterobacteriaceae.
GUUAAGCGACUAAGCGUACACGGUGGAUGCCCUGGCAGUCAGAGGCGAUGAAGGACGUGCUAAUCUGCGAUAAGCGUCGGUAAGGUGAUAUGAACCGUUAUAACCGGCGAUUUCCGAAUGGGGAAACCCAGUGUGUUUCGACACACUAUCAUUAACUGAAUCCAUAGGUUAAUGAGGCGAACCGGGGGAACUGAAACAUCUAAGUACCCCGAGGAAAAGAAAUCAACCGAGAUUCCCCCAGUAGCGGCGAGCGAACGGGGAGCAGCCCAGAGCCUGAAUCAGUGUGUGUGUUAGUGGAAGCGUCUGGAAAGGCGCGCGAUACAGGGUGACAGCCCCGUACACAAAAAUGCACAUGCUGUGAGCUCGAUGAGUAGGGCGGGACACGUGGUAUCCUGUCUGAAUAUGGGGGGACCAUCCUCCAAGGCUAAAUACUCCUGACUGACCGAUAGUGAACCAGUACCGUGAGGGAAAGGCGAAAAGAACCCCGGCGAGGGGAGUGAAAAAGAACCUGAAACCGUGUACGUACAAGCAGUGGGAGCACGCUUAGGCGUGUGACUGCGUACCUUUUGUAUAAUGGGUCAGCGACUUAUAUUCUGUAGCAAGGUUAACCGAAUAGGGGAGCCGAAGGGAAACCGAGUCUUAACUGGGCGUUAAGUUGCAGGGUAUAGACCCGAAACCCGGUGAUCUAGCCAUGGGCAGGUUGAAGGUUGGGUAACACUAACUGGAGGACCGAACCGACUAAUGUUGAAAAAUUAGCGGAUGACUUGUGGCUGGGGGUGAAAGGCCAAUCAAACCGGGAGAUAGCUGGUUCUCCCCGAAAGCUAUUUAGGUAGCGCCUCGUGAAUUCAUCUCCGGGGGUAGAGCACUGUUUCGGCAAGGGGGUCAUCCCGACUUACCAACCCGAUGCAAACUGCGAAUACCGGAGAAUGUUAUCACGGGAGACACACGGCGGGUGCUAACGUCCGUCGUGAAGAGGGAAACAACCCAGACCGCCAGCUAAGGUCCCAAAGUCAUGGUUAAGUGGGAAACGAUGUGGGAAGGCCCAGACAGCCAGGAUGUUGGCUUAGAAGCAGCCAUCAUUUAAAGAAAGCGUAAUAGCUCACUGGUCGAGUCGGCCUGCGCGGAAGAUGUAACGGGGCUAAACCAUGCACCGAAGCUGCGGCAGCGACGCUGAUGCGUUGUUGGGUAGGGGAGCGUUCUGUAAGCCUGCGAAGGUGUGCUGUGAGGCAUGCUGGAGGUAUCAGAAGUGCGAAUGCUGACAUAAGUAACGAUAAAGCGGGUGAAAAGCCCGCUCGCCGGAAGACCAAGGGUUCCUGUCCAACGUUAAUCGGGGCAGGGUGAGUCGACCCCUAAGGCGAGGCCGAAAGGCGUAGUCGAUGGGAAACAGGUUAAUAUUCCUGUACUUGGUGUUACUGCGAAGGGGGGACGGAGAAGGCUAUGUUGGCCGGGCGACGGUUGUCCCGGUUUAAGCGUGUAGGCUGGUUUUCCAGGCAAAUCCGGAAAAUCAAGGCUGAGGCGUGAUGACGAGGCACUACGGUGCUGAAGCAACAAAUGCCCUGCUUCCAGGAAAAGCCUCUAAGCAUCAGGUAACAUCAAAUCGUA